AGGCUUAGAAGUGGGGUAGCCGGGGUAUAUGUCUGACUUUGUGUUUUGGUGGGGUGGUGAUGAGUGGGUGUAGAAACUAAUAGUGCCAAGUGCAGUGCCUGUCAACUAGACACUGGGUCCCCUAGGAGCCUCCCCAGGCUUAAUGAUUGUCCAGAAGGUGGCUAUAAAGGGAGCUUGGGAGGCAGGGUGGAGGAGGGAGCAGAAAAAACCCAACUCAGCAGAUCUGGAAACUGUGAGAGCGGCAAGCAGGAGCUGUGGUCAGAGGCUGUGCGUCUUGGCUGGUAGGGCCUGCUCUUUUCUACCAUGGCAGCCCAGGGCUAUGGCUAUUAUCGCACUGUGAUCUUCUCAGCCAUGUUUGGGGGCUACAGCCUGUAUUACUUCAAUCGCAAGACCUUCUCCUUUGUCAUGCCAUCAUUGGUGGAAGAGAUCCCUUUGGACAAGGAUGAUUUGGGGCUCAUCACCAGCAGCCAGUCGGCAGCUUAUGCUAUCAGCAAGUUUGUCAGUGGGGUGCUGUCUGACCAGAUGAGUGCUCGCUGGCUCUUCUCUUCUGGGCUGCUCCUGGUUGGCCUGGUCAACAUAUUCUUUUCCUGGAGCUCCACAGUACCUGUCUUUGCUGCCCUCUGGUUCCUUAAUGGCCUGGCCCAGGGGCUGGGCUGGCCCCCAUGUGGGAAGGUCCUGCGGAAGUGGUUUGAGCCAUCUCAGUUUGGCACUUGGUGGGCCAUCCUAUCAACCAGCAUGAACCUGGCUGGAGGGCUGGGCCCUAUCCUGGCAACCAUCCUCGCCCAGAGCUACAGCUGGCGCAGCACGCUGGCCCUGUCUGGGGCACUGUGUGUGGUUGUCUCCUUCCUCUGUCUCCUGCUCAUCCACAAUGAACCUGCUGAUGUUGGACUCCGCAACCUGGACCCCAUGCCCUCUAAGGGCAAGAAGGGCUCCUUGAAGGAGGAGAGCACCCUACAGGAGCUGCUGCUGUCCCCUUACCUGUGGGUGCUCUCCACUGGUUACCUUGUGGUGUUUGGAGUAAAGACCUGCUGUACUGACUGGGGCCAGUUCUUCCUUAUCCAGGAGAAAGGACAGUCAGCCCUUGUAGGUAGCUCCUACAUGAGUGCCCUGGAAGUUGGGGGCCUUGUAGGCAGCAUCGCAGCUGGCUACCUGUCAGACCGGGCCAUGGCAAAGGCGGGACUGUCCAACUAUGGGAACCCUCGCCAUGGCCUGUUGCUGUUCAUGAUGGCUGGCAUGACAGUGUCCAUGUACCUCUUCCGGGUAACAGUGACCAGUGACUCCCCCAAGCUCUGGAUCCUGGUAUUAGGAGCUGUAUUUGGUUUCUCCUCGUAUGGCCCCAUUGCCCUGUUUGGAGUCAUAGCCAAUGAGAGCGCCCCUCCCAAAUUGUGUGGCACCUCCCACGCCAUUGUGGGACUCAUGGCCAAUGUGGGCGGCUUUCUGGCUGGGCUGCCCUUCAGCACCAUUGCCAAGCACUACAGUUGGAGCACAGCAUUCUGGGUGGCUGAAGUGAUUUGUGCAGCCAGCACAGCUGCCUUCUUCCUCCUACGAAACAUCCGCACCAAGAUGGGCCGAGUGUCCAAGAAGGCUGAGUGAAGAGAGUCCAGGCUCCGGAGCACCAUCCCACGGUGGCCUUCCCCCUGCACGCUGUGGGGGAGAAAAGGAGGGGCCUGCCUGGCUAGCCCUGAACCUUUCACUUUCCAUUUCUGCGCCUUUUCCCUCACCUGGGUGGCACUGGAAGUUAUCAGUGGCUAGUGAGGUCCCAGCUCCCCGAUCCUAUGCUCUAUUUAAAAGAUAACCUUUGGCCUUAGACUCCAUUAGCUCCUAUUUCCUGCCUUCAGACAAACAGGAAACUUCUGCAGUCAGGAAGCCUCCUGUACCCUUCUUCUUUUCCUAGGCCCUGUCCUGCCCCCAUCCCCACCAGAAGUGAGGCUAUCCCUGCAGCUGCAGGGCACUAAUGACCCUUGACUUCUGCUGGGCCCUAAGUCCUCUCAGCAGUGGUCGACUGCUGUUGCCAAUACCUCAGACUCCAGGGAAAGAGAGGAGGCCAUCAUUCUCACUGCAC
Molecule: small RNA, 2062 nt
Filed under: Pongo abelii (Sumatran orangutan)
Lineage: Eukaryota; Metazoa; Chordata; Mammalia; Primates; Hominidae
Description: processed transcript
Source: RNAcentral